UUGUUCUAUUUUUAGUUACAUGUAUUUUCCUGUGAUUAUUUUCCUUCAUUAUUGCUAUGCAUUGCGAACAUCCAAGAACAGUUAAUAUAUGAAAUAUAAAAGAUUAGAUUUUAAAAUGUUUCGAUAUGUUUUGUUGGUGUCAAUUGCACAAAUCAGUGUAUUGACAUUCCUGAUCGACACAACCCCCUUCCUCCUCAUAGGAAAAGAAGAUUUGAAUGGGUUAUGCAAUAUUCAUACAUCUUUAAUGUCAGCCAAUGAAACUACAUCUUUAAUGUCAGCCAAUGAAACUGGCGAGAUAUUAUGUCCGUCGUGUUUAAGACAAACAUAUCAAGAUGUUAUGUGUGAACAAUGCGAACAAGCGACUCAAAAUGCUCGAACAAAUUUUAUGCUUCAAGAAUUUUGUGCAGGCAGAGCUUACCAGUACAUAUUAAUGUUUGCUUGUCUUGUUGUUACUCUUAUCAACAGUAUUCCAUAUUUAACACCACGUGGAAAUAACGGACUAAUACCCAUGCGUUUUCAGUACACCGUGAAAGUUGUAGUGAAUGACAAGAAGAUUGGGACUAUGUGGAAUGUGUUGUGAUACUCGCAUGAUUAGUAGUACUGUUUUAAUAAUCGCUUGAUUACUAGUACUGUUAUAACAAUUAACAUCAUACGAGUAAAACAAAUAUAAUUAUACACUGUUAGAAUUCAGUUUUAUGACUCACAUUAUUUUAUUUUACUUUUAUUCCUAUUGCCUUUUUGUAUUAAAUUUUUAUUCUAA
This is a long non-coding RNA of Mytilus californianus (California mussel), 760 nucleotides long. RefSeq lists it as uncharacterized. NCBI's taxonomy places the organism in Eukaryota, Metazoa, Mollusca, Bivalvia, Mytilida, Mytilidae. The transcript has 2 exons. The record is from RefSeq and is a predicted model, not a curated record.